Molecule: ribosomal RNA, 1552 nt
Filed under: Salmonella enterica
Lineage: Bacteria; Pseudomonadati; Pseudomonadota; Gammaproteobacteria; Enterobacterales; Enterobacteriaceae
Also listed under: 1 other name
Description: bacterial SSU rRNA
Rfam family: Bacterial small subunit ribosomal RNA
Source: RNAcentral
AAAUUGAAGAGUUUGAUCAUGGCUCAGAUUGAACGCUGGCGGCAGGCCUAACACAUGCAAGUCGAACGGUAACAGGAAGCAGCUUGCUGCUUUGCUGACGAGUGGCGGACGGGUGAGUAAUGUCUGGGAAACUGCCUGAUGGAGGGGGAUAACUACUGGAAACGGUGGCUAAUACCGCAUAACGUCGCAAGACCAAAGAGGGGGACCUUCGGGCCUCUUGCCAUCAGAUGUGCCCAGAUGGGAUUAGCUUGUUGGUGAGGUAACGGCUCACCAAGGCGACGAUCCCUAGCUGGUCUGAGAGGAUGACCAGCCACACUGGAACUGAGACACGGUCCAGACUCCUACGGGAGGCAGCAGUGGGGAAUAUUGCACAAUGGGCGCAAGCCUGAUGCAGCCAUGCCGCGUGUAUGAAGAAGGCCUUCGGGUUGUAAAGUACUUUCAGCGGGGAGGAAGGUGUUGUGGUUAAUAACCGCAGCAAUUGACGUUACCCGCAGAAGAAGCACCGGCUAACUCCGUGCCAGCAGCCGCGGUAAUACGGAGGGUGCAAGCGUUAAUCGGAAUUACUGGGCGUAAAGCGCACGCAGGCGGUCUGUCAAGUCGGAUGUGAAAUCCCCGGGCUCAACCUGGGAACUGCAUUCGAAACUGGCAGGCUUGAGUCUUGUAGAGGGGGGUAGAAUUCCAGGUGUAGCGGUGAAAUGCGUAGAGAUCUGGAGGAAUACCGGUGGCGAAGGCGGCCCCCUGGACAAAGACUGACGCUCAGGUGCGAAAGCGUGGGGAGCAAACAGGAUUAGAUACCCUGGUAGUCCAUGCCGUAAACGAUGUCUACUUGGAGGUUGUGCCCUUGAGGCGUGGCUUCCGGAGCUAACGCGUUAAGUAGACCGCCUGGGGAGUACGGCCGCAAGGUUAAAACUCAAAUGAAUUGACGGGGGCCCGCACAAGCGGUGGAGCAUGUGGUUUAAUUCGAUGCAACGCGAAGAACCUUACCUGGUCUUGACAUCCACAGAACUUUCCAGAGAUGGAUUGGUGCCUUCGGGAACUGUGAGACAGGUGCUGCAUGGCUGUCGUCAGCUCGUGUUGUGAAAUGUUGGGUUAAGUCCCGCAACGAGCGCAACCCUUAUCCUUUGUUGCCAGCGGUCCGGCCGGGAACUCAAAGGAGACUGCCAGUGAUAAACUGGAGGAAGGUGGGGAUGACGUCAAGUCAUCAUGGCCCUUACGACCAGGGCUACACACGUGCUACAAUGGCGCAUACAAAGAGAAGCGACCUCGCGAGAGCAAGCGGACCUCAUAAAGUGCGUCGUAGUCCGGAUUGGAGUCUGCAACUCGACUCCAUGAAGUCGGAAUCGCUAGUAAUCGUGGAUCAGAAUGCCACGGUGAAUACGUUCCCGGGCCUUGUACACACCGCCCGUCACACCAUGGGAGUGGGUUGCAAAAGAAGUAGGUAGCUUAACCUUCGGGAGGGCGCUUACCACUUUGUGAUUCAUGACUGGGGUGAAGUCGUAACAAGGUAACCGUAGGGGAACCUGCGGUUGGAUCACCUCCUUACCUUAAAGAA